Molecule: long non-coding RNA, 220 nt
Filed under: Prunus persica (peach)
Lineage: Eukaryota; Viridiplantae; Streptophyta; Magnoliopsida; Rosales; Rosaceae
Description: long non-coding RNA (PPER_LNC005553)
Source: RNAcentral
UUUUAUUUCCGUUGAAUCCUCAAUCUCUAAUUUGAAUUCUUAUACUUUUUCCAAACAAAUUGGACACUCCUAGCCUUUUAUGUAGCCAACCCUAGCUCACGGUACAUACAGGCAUUGUUGAAUAGGUUCAGAUUUUUUGAUUCAAUUUUUAGCAGAUCUUUUUUGUCCAUUCGAAUCAUCAAUCUCUAACUUGAAUUCAAAUACUUUUUCCAAUCAAAUU